RNAcentral lists this ribosomal RNA (491 nucleotides) under uncultured bacterium. RNAcentral describes it as "partial 16S ribosomal RNA". It matches the Rfam family "Bacterial small subunit ribosomal RNA", at positions 29 to 507 of the family's 1533-position model. The record is from RNAcentral.
GUGAACGCUUGCGGUAGGCCUAACCCCUGCCAGUCGCACGGCAGCACAGUAAGAGCUUGCUCUUACGGGUGGCGAGUGGCGGACGGGUGAGGAAUACAUCGGAAUCUACUUUUUCGUGGGGGAUAACGUAGGGAAACUUACGCUAAUACCGCAUACGACCUACGGGUGAAAGCAGGGGAUCUUCGGACCUUGCGCGAUUGAAUGAGCCGAUGUCGGAUUAGCUAGUUGGCGGGGUAAAGGCCCACCAAGGCGACGAUCCGUAGCUGGUCUGAGGGGAUGAUCAGCCACACUGGAACUGAGACACGGUCCAGACUCCUACGGGAGGCAGCAGUGGGGAAUAUUGGACAAUGGGCGCAAGCCUGAUCCAGCCAUACCGCGUGGGUGAAGAAGGCCUUCGGGUUGUAAAGCCCUUUUGUUGGGAAAGAAAAGCAGCAGGUUAAUACCCCGCUGUUCUGACGGUACCCAAAGAAUAAGCACCGGCUAACUUCGUG